Oncorhynchus keta (chum salmon) is the source of this 2108-nucleotide long non-coding RNA. RefSeq lists it as uncharacterized. Lineage: Eukaryota; Metazoa; Chordata; Actinopteri; Salmoniformes; Salmonidae. The transcript is spliced from 2 exons. The record is from RefSeq and is a predicted model, not a curated record.
GUUAAUGAGAGAGAGAGAGCGUUACAAAGAGAGAGAUGAGAGGUGUUGGGUUUGCGCCCGACAUAGCGGUUUCCUUGAUGACCAAAGAGCUCAAUUUUAGUCUUAAUUGACCAGAGUACUUUCUUCCAUAUGUUUGCAGAGUCUCCCACCUGCUUUUGGCAUCAGACAGGAGACGCGUCCAACCAUGAUAUGUACUGAGAACCUGAGCCCUAGGACCAUGCCUCAGGACUACCUGGCCUGGUGACGCCUAGCUGUACCCAGUCCACCUGGCUGUGCUGCUGCUCCAGUUGCAACUGUUCUGCCUGCGGCUAUGGAACCCUGACAUGUUCACCGGACUUGCUACCUGUCCCAGACCUGCUGUUUUCAACUCUCUAGAGACAGCAGGAGCGGUAGAGAUACUCUGAAUGAUCGGCUAUGAAAAGCCAACUGACAUUUACUCCUGAGGUGCUGCCCUGUUGUACCCUCGACAACCACUGUGAUUAUUUGCCCCUGUUGGUCAUCUAUGAACAUUUACACAUCUUGACCAUGUUCUGUAAUAAUCUCAACCCGGCACAUCUAGAAGAGGACUGGUCACCCCUCAUAGCCUGGUUCCUCUCUAGGUUUCUUCCUAGGUUCUGGCCAUUCUAGGAAGUUUUUCCGAGCCACUGUGCUUCUACACCUGCAUUGCUUGCUGUUUGGGCUUUUAGGCUGGGUUUCUGUACAGCACUUUGAGAUAUCAGCUGAUGUAAGAAGGACUUUAUGAAUAAAUUUGAUUUUGAUUUGAUUUAUUUAAGCUUUUAUUUCUUUCAUCACAUUCCCAGUGGGUCAGAAGUGUACAUACACUCAAUUCGUAUUUUGUAGCAUUAACUUUAAAAUUGUUUAAUUUGGGUCAAACAUUUCGGGUAGCCUUCCACAAACUUCCCACAAUAAGUUGGGUGAAUUUUGGCCCAUUCCUCCUGACAGAGCUGGUGUAACUGAGUCGGGUUUGUAGGCCUCCUUGCUCGCACACGCUUUUUCAGUUCUGCACCAACAUUUUCUAUACGAUUGAGGUCAAGGCUUUGUGAUGGCCACUCCAAAACCUUGACUUUGUUGUCCUUAAGCCAUUUUGACACAACUUUGGAAGUAUGCUUUGGGGUCAUUGUCCAAUUGGAAGACCCAUUUGCAAACAAGCUUUAACUUCCUGCCACCCCGUGCUUCAUGGUUGGGAUGGUGUUCUUUGACUUGCAAGCCUCCCCCUUUUUCCUCCAAACAUAAUGAUGGUCAUUAUGACCAAACAGUUCUAUUUUUGUUUCAUCAGACCAGAGGUCAUUUCUCCAAAAAUUACGAUAUUUGUCCCCAUGUGGAGUUGCAAACCUUCUGGCUGUUUUACGGCAGUUUUGGAGCAGUGGCUUCUUCCUCGCUGAGCGGCCUUUCAGGUUAUGCUGAUGUAGGACUCGUUUUACUGUGGAUAUAGAUACCUUUGUACCUGUUUCCUCCAGCAUCUUCACAAGGUCCUUUGCUGUUGUUCUGGGAUUGAUUUGCACUUUUCGCACCAAAAUACGUUCAUCUCUAGGAGACAGAAGGCGUUUAGCCUAUCAGAAGCUUCUAAAGCCAUGACUUCAGUUUCUGGAAUUUUCCAACCUGUUUAAAGACACAGUCAACUUAGUAUAUGUACAUUUCUGACCCGCUGGAUUGGUGAUACAGUGAAUUAUAUGUGAAAUAAUCUGUCUGUAAACAAUUGUUGGAAAAGUUACUUGUGCAAUGCACAAAGUAGAUGUCUUAACCGACUUGCCAAAACUAUAGUUUGUUAAACAAGAAAUUUAUGGAGUGGUUGAAAAACAAGUUUUAAUGACUCCAACCUAAGUGUAUGUAAACUUCCGACUGCAACUGCACAUAAUGCUUCAGUAAUGUCUUAUGAGAAGAUAUUGAUGCAUUAUACCCAUUCAUAUCAGAGGUUCAACAGCACAUUUAAAUGUUUUCAUUAUCAUUCCUAAUGACAGUGCUACUCUGAACAGUGAUUUAAAUGUAUUGAUUCUGUAGUUUAGUUUAGUUCUUUUGUUUGAAAGUAAAAGCUACGAAGGCCCAAAUGGUACCCUAUUCCCUAUACAGUGCACAUACAUUAAAUAAAUGAUUAAAUGUUACUUAUUUCA